Sesamum indicum (sesame) is the source of this 1221-nucleotide non-coding RNA. The record is from RefSeq and is a predicted model, not a curated record. NCBI's taxonomy places the organism in Eukaryota, Viridiplantae, Streptophyta, Magnoliopsida, Lamiales, Pedaliaceae.
GAGGGCAAUUUCACGCUACAGCUUGAAAGAAAACGUGUUCAGGAACUCACCUAUAACUGGCCGGUUCCUUCAGUUACAGGAUUGUGGGUGAUGAGGAGGUGCAGUCAGAGUCGCGUUGAGAGAACCUGAACAAUUCCUGUCAUUCUGUCGACAUUACCUAUCCACGCUCUCGCUCUCUAGUCGAGCGUCCGGCAAACGCAUUUCAUUUUCAGCCGCCACCGGGAAUUUAGCAGUUACAGUGCGUAAGAUUUCUUCGGGACGGCUCCUAAAUUAACUGACCAUUCGGAUCUAGAGUUCAGAGAUUGGUUUCAGACGCUAUGUAGCGCCAGCCUUAAAGAACAAAACCCGCAUGAGUUUUCAUUUAACGUAAAAAAGAAGGAACAAAGCAAAUUUAAGAAGAAAAACACCUAACUGGCGCCAGUUUCUUUCUCCAGCAAAACCCUAAUCUUUGCCAGUUUCUCUUUCCAGCAGCUACGUUCUUCAUCCUCCUCUUCAAUGCAGAAAAAGGAUGUACGUACAUUCCAUUCCACACAGGCAAUAACUGAAUGUUGAAUAACAUUUAACGAUCCCCUCCUGAACCUUAGGCUACAGCGAACAGAUGGCAGAGUAACUUGCUUGCAACUUGUAUGGGCAACUUCAUCAGCAACUUGCAAUACCUAUUCGGUUGAAGAAUUGGUAUGCUUUCUCACAAAGAGUUUGCUUAUGUCUUCCAUGAUAAUAUUGUUCCUUCCAGCUAGCCGAGGUGGGAGCAAACGACCAUCUACAGUAUCUGGAACAUUUUCCGAAUGAGAUAAGGUCCCUGGUCCCUUUUGGAACUUUACUACGAGGGUAGGUAGCAAAUGGUCCAUUUAAGUCUCUCUUUUGUGCUGCGCUUCUGCCAUAGCAGCUGCAACUCGGGAUGAGUAGUCUGAAGUAUUCAGUAGAUUAGACAACACAACGGGUGAAUUCAAGAGGAAUGAUGCAUCACGUAGUUUCAGCUCAGAGGACUGAAACUAUGCCCGUCCAUCCUCCUUUAUUCUCCUAAAAUGUUCCCUUCUAGAUUUCCUGUUUUUCUUUCUUUUCUGUUAAAGACUGUUGUUCCACCUCGUAAUCAUCCUCUUUUCUUCUUCUUUUCUCCCCCUUCUGAAGUUGUGGUAAAUUGUCGAUUACUUCAUUAUAAUGUAAUUUGUUGUAAUUAUUCUCGCAGUUUGCGAAUGAUUUGCUAAUCUCAUAAAUUGUGAA